UACGUAGGGGGCAAGCGUUGUCCGGAAUCAUUGGGCGUAAAGAGCGUGUAGGCGGCCAGAAAAGUCCGCUGUGAAAACUCGAGGCUCAACUUCGAGCUGUCGGUGGAAACUUUCUGGCUAGAGUCCGGAAGAGGAGAAUGGAAUUCCUGGUGUAGCGGUGAAAUGCGCAGAUAUCUGGAGGAACACCGGUGGCGAAGGCGGCAUCCUGGACCAAUUCUGACGCUGAGGAGCGAAAGCCAGGGGAGCAAACGGG
Molecule: ribosomal RNA, 253 nt
Filed under: uncultured bacterium
Lineage: Bacteria
Description: partial 16S ribosomal RNA
Rfam family: Bacterial small subunit ribosomal RNA
Source: RNAcentral